Molecule: unclassified non-coding RNA, 260 nt
Filed under: Hevea brasiliensis (rubber tree)
Lineage: Eukaryota; Viridiplantae; Streptophyta; Magnoliopsida; Malpighiales; Euphorbiaceae
Source: RNAcentral
CCACCAAAGCCACCACCUCCACCAAAUCCACCUCCACCUCCUAGUCCACCUCCACGUCCACGACCAAAGCGACCGCCACAUCGUCGGCCCCAUCCACAGUAGUUAUCAUCAUUGCGAAACCUAGUUUCAUCAACUCUUUGAUCGGCAAGUGUGAUUGCACCCAAAUGAAAAACAACACAUAAGAAAAGCAGCAGAAAAGAAGCCCAUUUUGGAGAGGCACCCAUAGCUUCACUGAUGCAAGAGAACUCAGUUUUUGAUUU